CUAGUUGUCUUGAAUUAAGAAUUGCAAGCCAUAGCUAGGGCAUAGAAGUAAAUUUAUUUUGCGUUAGUGAUGCUGUGGUCCAAUGCUAUUCAUGAUUGUUGUGACAAGCUGUGCUUCGAGGUAAAUUGGUUUGCAAACUCACUAGGUCCCACACCCAACUAAGCCUUUUCAUUUCUUGCCUCACAACCACCUUGGAACACACAUUCAUUUACCUCUUCUGUUAUAAAUUAGUGGACACCGCGUACUGAAAAUUGCAGAUAGGUGUCCCAAAUUCACCAUUUUAAGAAAACUCCACUCCACCUCUCCCACCCCCUUUCUUUCUCACUCAUUUCUUAUGUGAGAGGAGGCAGCUAGGCUGAGUUUCUAGCUAGAGCUAUAUCAGCGAUAUCAAGUGAAGAGAAGGUGUGUGUGAGCAAGAUGGAGAAGCAGGGCACGUGCAUUACUAACUCAUGCACACAGAGUGAGAGAGACAUUUCUUGCUGGAGUUAUGACUCUUACCUACUAUAGAUUUGUUGGCUUCAGUGAGUUAGUUCUUCAUGUGCCUGUCUUCCCCAUCAUGAUCACUACCACACCUAUAUUAUUAGCUCAUCUGGGCACUUCAUAUUGGAUCGAGAAUCUCCUCUUCAAGAACUGAAUUCAUGCAUGCAGAAAAUAUGAAGUGGGCCGGGGUCUUGUCUUCCAUGAUCCUUUCUGUUAAGACUUCAUAUACAGAAAAGUAGAGAAACAGUACACAGUAUGAAUAAUGGGAAAAAAGGUAGUGUUUCUUCUCCACCGAGUCUCGGCGGAAAUCAUGUGAUAGCAGAUAUGCAAGCAAGUAGCCUGGCAACUAAAAGACGUGAGAUUUCUUGCUGAUCAUCAGUUUUCUUCUUUAUCUCUGCUCCUUCCAUUAAGAGGUAGUGGGUGUCUAUCAAUGUUGCUCUCAGUCUUAACCAAUAAAACCGAUAAGAGAUGAGUGGAGCAAAACCAUCGAGGCAUGAGUUCCCAAGAAAACUGAUGUCUUAUUAUCAUGGAUAUCUAGCAUUUUGAUGCCGCCAUCCAGGGGACAGUGCAAGAUUGCAAUGGCCACCGCAGAUAUUGCCUCUAAUCCAUCCAAUUUAGCUCUUUUUCCCCCCCUCUCAACCACGUUUGAAUGACAGUGAAAUGCCAUUCACAGCAUCUUGCCUUCUUAUCAAAUACCUUUUGUUUACCCAAGUUUUUAGAGUGAUCGAGAUUGCAAGCAACCUUAGAAAAUGAUGGCUUUUACAUGUAAAUCUUUCAUUUUCUACAAGUUGCUUAAGUUAUCUUUUCUCCCUCCUUGUUAAUGAUGGUUUUUAUAUCUAAAGCAACUCUUUCAUUUUA
Molecule: long non-coding RNA, 1338 nt
Organism: Populus euphratica (Euphrates poplar)
Lineage: Eukaryota; Viridiplantae; Streptophyta; Magnoliopsida; Malpighiales; Salicaceae
Exons: 2
Source: RefSeq, a predicted model, not a curated record